CGCGUAUGCAACCUACCUCAAUCAGGGGGAUAGCCCGAAGAAAUUCGGAUUAACACCGCAUAAAAACACAGUACAGCAUUGUACAAUGUUCAAAUAUUUAUAGGAUUGAGAUGGGCAUGCGUGUCAUUAGCUAGUUGGCGGGGUAACGGCCCACCAAGGCGACGAUGACUAGGGGAUCUGAGAGGAUGACCCCCCACACUGGUACUGAGACACGGACCAGACUCCUACGGGAGGCAGCAGUAAGGAAUAUUGGUCAAUGGAGGGAACUCUGAACCAGCCAUGCCGCGUGCAGGAAGACAGCCCUCUGGGUCGUAAACUGCUUUUAUUCGGGAAUAAACCUACUUACGUGUAAGUAGCUGAAUGUACCGAAGGAAUAAGGAUCGGCUAACUCCGUGCCAGCAGCCGCGGUAAUACGGAGGAUCCAAGCGUUA
This 431-nucleotide ribosomal RNA is filed under the name Pedobacter sp. Z4_73_4. RNAcentral's name for it is "bacterial SSU rRNA". It matches the Rfam family "Bacterial small subunit ribosomal RNA", at positions 114 to 543 of the family's 1533-position model. The record is from RNAcentral. Lineage: Bacteria; Pseudomonadati; Bacteroidota; Sphingobacteriia; Sphingobacteriales; Sphingobacteriaceae.